This is a non-coding RNA of Orycteropus afer afer, 71 nucleotides long. The record is from the annotation of a RefSeq genome assembly. NCBI's taxonomy places the organism in Eukaryota, Metazoa, Chordata, Mammalia, Tubulidentata, Orycteropodidae.
GCAUUGGUGUUUCAGUGGUAGAAAUCUCCCCUUCCAUGAGAGAGACCUAGGUUUGAUUCCUGGCUAAUGCA